AGAGUUUGAUCCUGGCUCAGAGCGAACGCUGGCGGCAGGCUUAACACAUGCAAGUCGAGCGCCCGUAGCAAUACGGGAGCGGCAGACGGGAGAGUAACACGUGGGAACAUGCCCUUCGGUUCGGAAUAACUCAGGGAAACUUGAGCUAAUACCGGAUACGUCCGUAAGGAGAAAGAUUUAUCGCCGAAGGAUUGGCCCGCGUCCGAUUAGCUUGUUGGUGAGGUAAUGGCUCACCAAGGCGACGAUCGGUAGCUGGUCUGAGAGGAUGAUCAGCCUCACUGGGACUGAGACACGGCCCAGACUCCUACGGGAGGCAGCAGUGGGGAAUAUUGGACAAUGGGCGCAAGCCUGAUCCAGCCAUGCCGCGUGGGUGAUGAAGGCCUUCGGGUCGUAAAGCUCUGUGGGGAGGGACGAACAAAUCUGGGGCUAAUCACCCGGAUCCUGACGGUACCUCCUUAGCAAGCACCGGCUAACCCUGUGCCAGCAGCCGCGGUAAUAC
This 499-nucleotide ribosomal RNA is filed under the name uncultured bacterium. RNAcentral describes it as "bacterial SSU rRNA". It matches the Rfam family "Bacterial small subunit ribosomal RNA", at positions 8 to 526 of the family's 1533-position model. The record is from RNAcentral.